AUACGUAGGGGGCUAGCGUUAUCCGGAAUUACUGGGCGUAAAGGGUGCGUAGGUGGUUUCUUAAGUCAGAAGUGAAAGGCUACGGCUCAACCGUAGUAAGCUUUUGAAACUAAGAGACUUGAGUGCAGGAGAGGAGAGUAGAAUUCCUAGUGUAGCGGUGAAAUGCGUAGAUAUUAGGAGGAAUACCAGUUGCGAAGGCGGCUCACUGGACUGUAACGGACACUGGGUCACGAAAGCGUGGGGAGCAAACAGGAUUAGAUACCCUGGUCGUCCACGCCGUAAACGAUGAGUACUAGCUGUCGGGGGUUACCCCCCUCGGUGGCGCAGCUAACGCAUUAAGUACUCCGCCUGGGAAGUACGCUAGCAAGAGGGAAACUCAAAGGAAUUGACGGGG
RNAcentral lists this ribosomal RNA (394 nucleotides) under uncultured bacterium. Its description in RNAcentral is "partial 16S ribosomal RNA". It matches the Rfam family "Bacterial small subunit ribosomal RNA", at positions 523 to 918 of the family's 1533-position model. The record is from RNAcentral.